AAAGCAAGUUGCAAUUACAAUGCUUCAUUUUGUGGAAGUACCACCAUCAUCCUGCUGAAAGAAAAGUCAUGUUGAUGGCUUUUUAUGUUUGUCUUUAUGAGGGUAAAAUCAUGACAUUUUGACAUGGACAAUU
RNAcentral lists this small nucleolar RNA (133 nucleotides) under Castor canadensis (American beaver). Its description in RNAcentral is "Small nucleolar RNA SNORA69 (ENSCCNG00000013450.1)". It matches the Rfam family "Small nucleolar RNA SNORA69". Rfam says of the family: U69 is a member of the H/ACA class of small nucleolar RNAs (snoRNAs) which act as guides in the the modification of uridines to pseudouridines. Lineage: Eukaryota; Metazoa; Chordata; Mammalia; Rodentia; Castoridae. The record is from Rfam by way of RNAcentral.